UCAAUAAUCACUCACUCCACCGGCUCAACCCGCCAGGCGCCCUGAACACCCCCGUUCUUUCGAUGGACCAGUGCCUUCAGGCGUUCAAGCAGCUGAUUGGUCGGAGGAAAUCAGAGUCACAAAACAGUAGGUCCCACCCAGCAGAGCGAGGAAGGCCUGUCCCCUGGGCCACUAAUGCCCCAGACCUGGAAACCCGCAGUGCAGAGGGCAACAGGCUGGCUGUAAUCGGGCGGUCUCACGUCCCGUCCAUGGGUGUCUAUGGCGCAUGUACGACAGAGAGGCAGAGGACGCGGCCACCGCUCCGUGGAUGUGUGAAAAGUGAUGCAUUCACCCGCUGGGUUUCGGAAGGAUCUCCUCCAUCAAGGCAGACAGACGGGCGCAGCACGGGAGAAGCCGGAGGCUGGUCCCAUCGUCCAAAACAGCAGAGGGUCCAAACUAACACAGUGACUACCGGGAGUGACCCAAGGAGGCAGACAAGAAGAUGGGGUCUUGGGGCUGGAUGAUGCACGCCCAGGCUGGCAUGGAGGACCCCAUCUCCAGGGACGUGUGGACGCAGGACUAGCUCAAGUCUUAAGAGAUCUGAAGAACCUGGGCGUCCCAUGGAACACCACCCUGGUCCAUUACAUUGAUGACACCAUGCUGAUCAGACAAACGGAUGAUCAAAACAGAUCAAAAAGGAUGAACAAAACGGGAGUGCCCACCAGAGAGCGUCCGCCGUGGAAGAGGUGGCCAGCAACCAGCUAGACAAAACGACUGAGCCAGUUGGCUCUAGCCAGCCUUCAUCAUCGGCCACCUCAAAACCGGCACAGUGGGUAAUGGAAUGGAGUGGCGGAGGAUGUUCGUGGACCCAUCUGCCUGGACUCCCACUGACCAUGGCCGGUCUCGUCGUGGCCACCUCUGAAUGUCCAACCCGCGUCAACAGAGCUCAGCACUAAGCGUAGGGAUGGACACUCUUCCUUGAGGAGACCAACAGGACGCAGUGGCAAGGGGACUAUUUUGAACCCUUCUGUCCUCAAAGGGUCGGCUACUCAUCCUCUCUCUGGGCUUCAGGGUCCCAUUUUCUGUCACAGACCAGUCCUUACUCAGCUCAGACAGAUCUAUUUUUUUUAAUGUUUAUUUAUUUA
Long non-coding RNA from Leopardus geoffroyi (Geoffroy's cat), 1124 nucleotides. RefSeq lists it as uncharacterized. NCBI's taxonomy places the organism in Eukaryota, Metazoa, Chordata, Mammalia, Carnivora, Felidae. The record is from RefSeq and is a predicted model, not a curated record. The transcript is spliced from 5 exons.